GGGUCUGGCUCAAAUGGUAGAGUGCCUGCCUAGUAAGCAAGAGGCCCUGAGUUCAAACCUCAGUAGGGCCA
Molecule: transfer RNA, 71 nt
Filed under: Dipodomys ordii (Ord's kangaroo rat)
Lineage: Eukaryota; Metazoa; Chordata; Mammalia; Rodentia; Heteromyidae
Rfam family: tRNA
About the family: Transfer RNA (tRNA) molecules are approximately 80 nucleotides in length.
Source: Rfam by way of RNAcentral